Molecule: RNA transcript, 1839 nt
Organism: Pyrus x bretschneideri (Chinese white pear)
Lineage: Eukaryota; Viridiplantae; Streptophyta; Magnoliopsida; Rosales; Rosaceae
Gene name: endoplasmic reticulum-Golgi intermediate compartment protein 3-like
Exons: 13
Source: RefSeq, a predicted model, not a curated record
AGUAGCCAGUGUCAUUCUAAAUUAAAAUUUGUCAACCGGCCCUCUCUAUCUCUGACUCUGGUCGGGUCGACUCUGCUGAAUUGAAUUGCUCAACCAAAAUACCCGAAUCGCAUCAUCCUUCCUUCCUUACUUGUUGUGGCGUGAGAGAGAGAGAGAGAGAGAGAGAGAGAGAGAGAGAGAGAGAGAGAGAGAGAGAGAAGCGAAUGGGCAGGGGCGGUGGUAUCCUUGAGAAGCUGAGGAGUUUGGACGCCUACCCUAAAAUCAAUGACGAUUUCUUCAGCCGUACACUCUCCGGUGGCAUCAUUACCCUCGCCUCUUCCCUCCUCAUGCUCUUCCUUUUCUUCUCCGAGCUCAGACUAUACCUCCACACUGUUACAGAGUCAAAGCUUCUUGUGGAUGCUUCAAGAGGAGAAACCCUACAUAUCAAUGUAAUCUCCCUUUCUUCCUCCCCACUCCCUUCUCGGGUGAUAAAUGUCAAAAAGUUUGAUGUAACUUUUCCUGCUAUCCGAUGCUCAUUACUCAGUCUUGACACAAUGGAUAUUAGCGGAGAGCAGCAUUUUGACAUACGACACCAUAUAGUCAAGAAACGAAUUGAUGCGCAUGGUAGUGUAAUAGAAGCUAAGAAGGAUGGAAUUGGUGCACCAAAGAUUGAGAAACCCUUGCAAAGGCAUGGUGGAAGGCUUGAACAUAAUGAAAAAUAUUGUGGAUCGUGCUUUGGAGCAGAAACGUCUGAUGAUGAUUGUUGCAACUCAUGCGAUGAAGUUCGUGAGGCAUAUAGGAAAAAAGGUUGGGCACUGACGAAUGCAGAGUUGAUAGACCAGUGCGAACGGGAAGGUUUUAUUCAAAAGGUCAAAGAUGAAGAUGGUGAAGGAUGUAAUAUUGAAGGAUCCCUUGAAGUUAACAAAGUGGCUGGAAAUUUUCAUUUUAUACCUGGAAAAAGUUUUCACCAGUCUAAUGUUCAUUUGCAUGAUUUGCUGGCUUUCCAGACAGAUAGUUACAAUAUAAGUCACAAGAUAAACAGAUUAGCUUUCGGUGACUACUUUCCUGGCGUGCAAAAUCCCCUUGAUGGUGUACAAUGGAUGCAGGAAAGACCAAGUGGUAUGUACCAGUAUUUCAUCAAGGUGGUCCCUACGAUAUACACCAAUAUUAGAGGCCGUACAAUUUUCUCAAAUCAGUACUCUGUGACAGAGCAUUAUAAGAGUUUGGAGCUGGGAUACUCUCACAUGCUUCCAGGAGUUUUCUUCUUUUAUGAUCUUUCUCCAAUUAAGGUCACAUUCAAAGAAGAACAUGUUCCGUUUUUACACUUCAUGACUCAUAUUUGUGCCAUAAUUGGAGGUAAUCUAGUCCAUUCUGGCAUGCAUUGAUGUAGGUCGAAGAAAUUAACACAGUAUUUGACAAAGUCCUCAAAACCAUUAUGCACGUAGCAUAACCAUUUGGUUCAAAGUUCAGAAUAUAUGCAUGUAUAUUUACCAUUGCAGGACUUAUAGAUUCAUUUAUAUAUCAUGGUCAAAGAGCAAUUAAGAAAAAGAUCGAAGCUGGAAAAUUUGGGUGAAAUCGAGCAUUUGGAUAUUUGCUGCUCCAAUUCUGGGACAGAUGGUUGACAAGUAGAUGGUCAUUGAAUCAGUUUCUCUCCACACUCUCUCAAGUGUUGUCGUGAUCACAAAUUAUUGGCAAAUCUGUGAAAAUUAGUAAGGUGUAAUGGUAGGUUCAUUUUGUUCAGUUUAGCUUUUUGCAAGUUAACUUACUAGUUAUACAAGUUGAUUUCAUGAAUGUGGAACCGUCAAAUUUGUCCAGCCAUAAAAUUUUGGCUUAUUUAUUGAUUUUCCUGUUAAAUGUCCA